Molecule: long non-coding RNA, 2534 nt
Filed under: Homo sapiens (human)
Lineage: Eukaryota; Metazoa; Chordata; Mammalia; Primates; Hominidae
Description: HSALNT0229310
Source: RNAcentral
UCGUUGCAGAGUCUGUAGUAGCGCAGGUCGUUGACCAGCCUGUGCACAUUCUGGGUGAAUGAGGGCAGGUCCUGGAAGGCAGGGGCAUAGCUGCAGCCAACAACACACCAGGUCACCCACCCACCAGACCCCAACAGCUACUUCCAUCCCAGAGUGUGCACUGAAGAUAGGGGAGCACUUUCUAAAACUCAAAACUUCUAUUCACUGUUGCACUGCGUGUCACAGAGACUCUGUGCCAGGCGCUGUGGGAGAAAAAGAACAAGAGGAAUACGUCCCUAGGGCCUCUCGGGUGCCAGACACUGCUGCAAUCAACAUACAGACAUCAACUCACUGAGUCCUCACCACAAGGCUGCCACCAAGCCCUACCAGAACCACUAGUCUAAGGACAGAAAGACCAAAGCGCUGCACCAUGAAGAAGCUGGCCCCAGCUCACACUGAAGAGACCAGCACACUUGCUCCUGAGUCCGGCCCCUCAAACGCAGACAUGGCUGUGGUGACAGCCCUCUUCUUCACCAUGGCCCCUUGAGGUGACGCGCACACCGAGCAAUGUCUGCAGAACCUUUACCCACGGGGCUCCAGGCCGCCCCUGCCCCUCGAGAGCCACCCGAGCAGCAGCAAACACAGUCCCAAGGCCUGUCCCACUGGGCGCAGCGUGGGCCAUGGAAGGCCCUGGGCCAGAAGUGAGGCCCUGACCUCCGCCAUCAUGCACACGGUGAGACCCUGCUUUUUUUUUCAGUGUAGGUCCCGGUGAGGACUCAAACAGGCCCAGCAAGCCCCAGCAGAGCCAUGAGCAGGACCAAGUUCAUUUUCCUGCCCAACCACUAUUCCUCUUCCAGAACUCCAUUCAAAGCCUGCCUCUUCCCAAAGUCUGCACAGAUGCCUCCUAUUUCCUGGCCCCAGCAGCCAGCUCAGCGCCUCUGUCCUGAGCAAUCUGCUUCUGGGGAGUGUGUGCAGGCUCUGGGGCCAGAACACCCAGGUCUGCCUCCUGCUUCGCAGCUCUACCACUUCCAAGUUCUGUGAACUGCUCACCUUCUGAGCCCCCACCAUCUGUGAAAUGGGGGAGUAACAGGACCCACACUUCAGAGGCUUGUUAGAAGGCUUACUCGAGCCAAGACAUGUCACAUGCUUGGCACUAUGUGGUCCACAGAGGGUGCUGUAUUGGCCUGUCUACCAUGAAAGACUUGGUGAAGGCUGGGACUGGUGCCCCAGUUCCUGGCCCGGGGCUUGAGAAGCAGCUGGCUUCAAACACACAGUGCGUGACUGAAUGGAAGGUGGUGAUUCUUUUAUUUUACCCUCAAAAAACCAACUAAGGGAUGUCUUUUAAAUCAGUGGCUCCCAAAUGCCAAACCAGAAUUUCCUGGGUAGAACACAGAAGUCUGUUUCUCCAUUUUUAAUAAGUACCCCAGGUGCUUCUGAUAUAACUAGAUUUUUUUUUUUGAGACAAAGUCCCACUCUGCCGCCCAGGCUGGAGUGCAGUGGCACAACCUCCGCUCACUGCAACCUCUGCCUCCCGGGUUCAAGAGAUUCUUGUGCCUCAGCCUCCCAAGCAGCUGGGAUUACAGGCGUGUGCCACCACACCUGACUAAUUUUUUUUAUUUUUAGUAGAGACAGGGUUUCGCCAUGUUGGCCAGGCUGGUCUCAAACCCCCUAACCUCAAGUGAUCCGCCCGCCUUGGCCUCCCAAAGUGCUGAGAUUACAGGUGUGAGACACCGCGCCUGGCCUAUAACUAGAUUUUGAAACCACAGCUUUAAAUCAAAAAGUUGACUGAUAUUGAUGUCGUUAGAAGCUGAUCAUUAAGUAUUAGGAUCUGGCCUCUAGAAAAAGGAAAAAACAUAUCCAGGGGCUGAAGUGAACUGGAAGAGGCUUAGGAGAGAACAAGUCCCAAGAAAAGGAAGACCCCAAGACAAAGGAGAACAGGAUGAGUCUAAGCAAAAGCUUCCCUGCCACACGUGGCAAAUGAGGAAAGCAGGCGGCCAGGUUUGCACCAGUGAGAGCAGUGUGUGCAUCUGAGCACUACGGUGGAGCCGUGGACAAGCUGCUUCACAGAGGACUCAGGUCAAGAACCCCAAGAGGACCAGGGAGAAAGCGAUUUCUUUUCCUAAUUUCAUCAAGUAUAAAACGGUACAAGGAAAAGUUCCCAGAAGUUCCUAUCAGGCAAGAGAGAGGCCUGGUCACCUGACACAGGAAGAAGAGAACAGGUGAGCCCCAUGGGGAAGGAGGUCCCAGGCACUGUCAGGCUCCAACAAGAUGGCCUCAUGGACACCAAGAGCCAGCAGCACCCAGCUCCCACCGAGGUGCUGCACGGGUGGGGACAGCCCACCUGACAGUCCCUGCACAGGUGGCAGCAGUGGGACAAGAGGGUGAGUACUAGGAGGGCUCCUCCCAGGACCUGGCAGCAACUCAGCCCAAGCUGAGCUGGGGCUGGUCUGGAAAGAGCCCAAGACAGCCGGGGAACCUGGGUCCCACCUCUAACCCUGGGGACCCAGAAGUGCAGCUCCCAAGCACCAACCAUCUCAGCCUGAAUGCAAGCCUGG